Molecule: ribosomal RNA, 321 nt
Filed under: Triticum aestivum (bread wheat)
Lineage: Eukaryota; Viridiplantae; Streptophyta; Magnoliopsida; Poales; Poaceae
Description: partial small subunit ribosomal RNA
Source: RNAcentral
AUGGGGAUGGAAAUAUAUCAACAAUGGGGUGUGGUUCGUUCCUGUCAGGUUUUUUUCUUUGACGCUGCCGCUCCUGGAGCACCAACUCAAAAUUUUCUCAUAUACUGGUGUUGCCCGAGCACGAGCACAAGGCGACAUUUUUGCUGGCCAUCUUGUUCAACACCUACUGGGGAGGCGGAGGAGGCCGGCAACAGGAGAAGGCGCAUGCCAGCGAGGAGGGCGAGCAGAAGGGUGCAGUGGAGGACGAUCAGGGGGAGACGUGAGCGCUCAGGCCUAGGUUUGUGUUGUUCUCGACUUGAGUAUAUGGGGCUCGAAUUGUGA